Molecule: ribosomal RNA, 433 nt
Filed under: uncultured bacterium
Lineage: Bacteria
Description: bacterial SSU rRNA
Rfam family: Bacterial small subunit ribosomal RNA
Source: RNAcentral
GAACGCGAAGAACCUUACCAAGUCUUGACAUCCUUUGACCACUCUAGAGAUAGAGCUUUCCCUUCGGGGACAAAGUGACAGGUGGUGCAUGGUCGUCGUCAGCUCGUGUCGUGAGAUGUUGGGUUAAGUCCCGCAACGAGCGCAACCCUUAUUACUAGUUGCCAGCAUUGAGUUGGGCACUCUAGUGAGACUGCCGGUGACAAACCGGAGGAAGGUGGGGAUGACGUCAAAUCAUCAUGCCCCUUAUGACUUGGGCUACACACGUGCUACAAUGGAUGGUACAACGAGCAGCGAACUCGCGAGGGUAAGCGAAUCUCUUAAAGCCAUUCUCAGUUCGGAUUGUAGGCUGCAACUCGCCUACAUGAAGCCGGAAUCGCUAGUAAUCGCGGAUCAGCACGCCGCGGUGAAUACGUUCCCGGGUCUUGUACACACC